Molecule: ribosomal RNA, 868 nt
Filed under: Curvibasidium sp. 1 AP-2015
Lineage: Eukaryota; Fungi; Basidiomycota; Microbotryomycetes
Description: eukaryotic LSU rRNA
Rfam family: Eukaryotic large subunit ribosomal RNA (bases 249-868)
Source: RNAcentral
UCCGGAGAGCAUGUCUGUUUGAGUGUCAUGAACUCUUCAACCUACCGGUUUCUAGUGAAUCGGAUUAGUGUUUGGAUUCUGAACGCCUGCUGGCCUUUAUUGGCGAAGCUCGUUCGUAAAUGAUUAGCAUCUCAUAUUCGAAAAUCGGAUUGACUCAGUGUAAUAGACUAUUCGCUGAGGACGCUCUUUCGGGAGUGGCCGAGUUUUGUAAAGUAGAAGCUUCUAAUUCUAUUAGUCAACUUUAGAUUAGACCUCAGAUCAGGCAGGAUUACCCGCUGAACUUAAGCAUAUCAAUAAGCGGAGGAAAAGAAACUAACAAGGAUUCCCCUAGUAACGGCGAGUGAAGCGGGAAGAGCUCAAAUUUGUAAUCUGGCACUUUCAGUGUCCGAGUUGUAAUCUCGAGAAGUGUUUUCCGCGCCGGACCGCAUACAAGUCUGUUGGAAUACAGCGUCAUAGUGGUGAGAACCCCGUAACUGAUGCGGAUGCCCGGUGCUUUGUGAUACACUUUCGAAGAGUCGAGUUGUUUGGGAAUGCAGCUCAAAUUGGGUGGUAAAUUCCAUCUAAAGCUAAAUAUUGGCGAGAGACCGAUAGCGAACAAGUACCGUGAGGGAAAGAUGAAAAGCACUUUGGAAAGAGAGUUAACAGUACGUGAAAUUGUUGGAAGGGAAACGAUUGAAGUCAGACUUGUUAUCUGGAGUUCAGCCUUUCGGUGUACUCUCCAGUUUACAGGCCAGCAUCAGUUUUCGGGGCGGGAAAAUCGUAAUUAGAAGGUAGCAGCCUAGCUGUGUUAUAGCUCUUUACUGGAUUCCGCUUUGGGGACUGAGGAACGCAGUGUGCUUUUAGCAAUACCCUCGGGUAUUCACACUAG